RNAcentral lists this unclassified non-coding RNA (323 nucleotides) under soil metagenome. Its description in RNAcentral is "partial contains 5.8S ribosomal RNA, internal transcribed spacer 2, and large subunit ribosomal RNA". The stretch from base 1 to 120 matches the Rfam family "5.8S ribosomal RNA", at positions 35 to 154 of the family's 154-position model. The record is from RNAcentral.
GAUGAAGAACGCAGCAAAAUGCGAUAAGUAGUGUGAAUUGCAGAAUUCAGUGAAUCAUCGAAUCUUUGAACGCACAUUGCGCCCCUUGGUAUUCCAUGGGGCAUGCCUGUUCGAGCGUCAUUUGUACCUUCAAGCUUUGCUUGGUGUUGGGUGUUUGUCCUGAGGGACUCGCCUUAAAGUAAUUGGCAGCCAGUGUUUGGUUUUGAAGCGCAGCACAAGUCGCGAUUCAAGGCUAUACACCAGCUUCCACAAGCCUUUUUCACUUUUGACCUCGGAUCAGGUAGGGAUACCCGCUGAACUUAAGCAUAUCAAGAAGCGGAGGA